Molecule: ribosomal RNA, 229 nt
Filed under: uncultured bacterium
Lineage: Bacteria
Description: partial 16S ribosomal RNA
Rfam family: Bacterial small subunit ribosomal RNA
Source: RNAcentral
CGGGGUGAGUAAUGUCUGGGAAACUGCCUGAUGGAGGGGGGUAACUACUGGAAACGGUAGCUAAUACCGCAUAACGUCGCAAGACCAAAGAGGGGGACCUUCAGGCCUCUUGCCAUCGGAUGUGCCCAGAUGGGAUUAGCUAGUAGGUGGGGUAACGGCUCACCUAGGCGACGAUCCCUAGCUGGUCUGAGAGGAUGACCAGCCACACUGGAACUGAGACACGGUCCAG